Molecule: long non-coding RNA, 274 nt
Organism: Neodiprion fabricii
Lineage: Eukaryota; Metazoa; Arthropoda; Insecta; Hymenoptera; Diprionidae
Exons: 2
Source: RefSeq, a predicted model, not a curated record
AGCAUACUUCCAUAAAUGCGGCUAUGUUGGUAAAAGUAUUCCUUUUCGAAAAUCUAGAAGAACUUAGCGAAAUAGAAAGUUCAAAUUAUUUUAACUCUCUAUGGAGAGAGAUGUCCUGCGGCCAACUAAACGCAGUUUCUGAAAAAGGAAGAAGCGGCUACCUAUGCCAAAGCUGCUUUGAGUCACACUCUAAACCCGAAUUUCUUCUACACGAAGUCUCCCUUCAUCUGACCUUUCUCAAAGAAAAAGCGCUAUGUCGCUUAUGCAAACAAAG